RNAcentral lists this ribosomal RNA (2258 nucleotides) under Staphylococcus aureus M0280. Its description in RNAcentral is "bacterial LSU rRNA". It matches the Rfam family "Bacterial large subunit ribosomal RNA", at positions 3 to 2259 of the family's 2925-position model. The record is from RNAcentral. Lineage: Bacteria; Bacillati; Bacillota; Bacilli; Caryophanales; Staphylococcaceae.
UUAAGUUAUUAAGGGCGCACGGUGGAUGCCUUGGCACUAGAAGCCGAUGAAGGACGUUACUAACGACGAUAUGCUUUGGGGAGCUGUAAGUAAGCUUUGAUCCAGAGAUUUCCGAAUGGGGAAACCCAGCAUGAGUUAUGUCAUGUUAUCGAUAUGUGAAUACAUAGCAUAUCAGAAGGCACACCCGGAGAACUGAAACAUCUUAGUACCCGGAGGAAGAGAAAGAAAAUUCGAUUCCCUUAGUAGCGGCGAGCGAAACGGGAAGAGCCCAAACCAAAAAGCUUGCUUGUUGGGGUUGUAGGACACUCUAUACGGAGUUACAAAGGACGACAUUAGACGAAUCAUCUGGAAAGAUGAAUCAAAGAAGGUAAUAAUCCUGUAGUCGAAAAUGUUGUCUCUCUUGAGUGGAUCCUGAGUACGACGGAGCACGUGAAAUUCCGUCGGAAUCUGGGAGGACCAUCUCCUAAGGCUAAAUACUCUCUAGUGACCGAUAGUGAACCAGUACCGUGAGGGAAAGGUGAAAAGCACCCCGGAAGGGGAGUGAAAUAGAACCUGAAACCGUGUGCUUACAAGUAGUCAGAGCCCGUUAAUGGGUGAUGGCGUGCCUUUUGUAGAAUGAACCGGCGAGUUACGAUUUGAUGCAAGGUUAAGCAGUAAAUGUGGAGCCGUAGCGAAAGCGAGUCUGAAUAGGGCGUUUAGUAUUUGGUCGUAGACCCGAAACCAGGUGAUCUACCCUUGGUCAGGUUGAAGUUCAGGUAACACUGAAUGGAGGACCGAACCGACUUACGUUGAAAAGUGAGCGGAUGAACUGAGGGUAGCGGAGAAAUUCCAAUCGAACCUGGAGAUAGCUGGUUCUCUCCGAAAUAGCUUUAGGGCUAGCCUCAAGUGAUGAUUAUUGGAGGUAGAGCACUGUUUGGACGAGGGGCCCCUCUCGGGUUACCGAAUUCAGACAAACUCCGAAUGCCAAUUAAUUUAACUUGGGAGUCAGAACAUGGGUGAUAAGGUCCGUGUUCGAAAGGGAAACAGCCCAGACCACCAGCUAAGGUCCCAAAAUAUAUGUUAAGUGGAAAAGGAUGUGGCGUUGCCCAGACAACUAGGAUGUUGGCUUAGAAGCAGCCAUCAUUUAAAGAGUGCGUAAUAGCUCACUAGUCGAGUGACACUGCGCCGAAAAUGUACCGGGGCUAAACAUAUUACCGAAGCUGUGGAUUGUCCUUUGGACAAUGGUAGGAGAGCGUUCUAAGGGCGUUGAAGCAUGAUCGUAAGGACAUGUGGAGCGCUUAGAAGUGAGAAUGCCGGUGUGAGUAGCGAAAGACGGGUGAGAAUCCCGUCCACCGAUUGACUAAGGUUUCCAGAGGAAGGCUCGUCCGCUCUGGGUUAGUCGGGUCCUAAGCUGAGGCCGACAGGCGUAGGCGAUGGAUAACAGGUUGAUAUUCCUGUACCACCUAUAAUCGUUUUAAUCGAUGGGGGGACGCAGUAGGAUAGGCGAAGCGUGCGAUUGGAUUGCACGUCUAAGCAGUAAGGCUGAGUAUUAGGCAAAUCCGGUACUCGUUAAGGCUGAGCUGUGAUGGGGAGAAGACAUUGUGUCUUCGAGUCGUUGAUUUCACACUGCCGAGAAAAGCCUCUAGAUAGAAAAUAGGUGCCCGUACCGCAAACCGACACAGGUAGUCAAGAUGAGAAUUCUAAGGUGAGCGAGCGAACUCUCGUUAAGGAACUCGGCAAAAUGACCCCGUAACUUCGGGAGAAGGGGUGCUCUUUAGGGUUAACGCCCAGAAGAGCCGCAGUGAAUAGGCCCAAGCGACUGUUUAUCAAAAACACAGGUCUCUGCUAAACCGUAAGGUGAUGUAUAGGGGCUGACGCCUGCCCGGUGCUGGAAGGUUAAGAGGAGUGGUUAGCUUCUGCGAAGCUACGAAUCGAAGCCCCAGUAAACGGCGGCCGUAACUAUAACGGUCCUAAGGUAGCGAAAUUCCUUGUCGGGUAAGUUCCGACCCGCACGAAAGGCGUAACGAUUUGGGCACUGUCUCAACGAGAGACUCGGUGAAAUCAUAGUACCUGUGAAGAUGCAGGUUACCCGCGACAGGACGGAAAGACCCCGUGGAGCUUUACUGUAGCCUGAUAUUGAAAUUCGGCACAGCUUGUACAGGAUAGGUAGGAGCCUUUGAAACGUGAGCGCUAGCUUACGUGGAGGCGCUGGUGGGAUACUACCCUAGCUGUGUUGGCUUUCUAACCCGCACCACUUAUCGUGGUGGGAGACAGUGUCA